ACUUUUGGUUACUGAUAUCUGCCAUAUGCCAUCUUGAAGCAUAUCUCAGGGAAUUUUAUCUCUGGUGUUCAUUCCUAAUUUCACCUCAAUUUGUAAGAGUUUUGUCAGUCACAAGAUGUGCUCAAUAUGCUCGGCCAGAUCUCCCUUUGUUAACAUUGUGAACAAUUCUAUCAGGUUGAAACUUCUUUACAAUCCUCCAUGCUGUCUUUCUGUCUGGAGCUUUUCUAACUGCAAAAUGACAUUGAUAUUGUCAUUGGUUUGCACGGUUGAUUUGGCCUCAAAGUAGAAUUCCACCAGUUUACCUUCUUUGCUCGAUUGUAAGCAGCAUCGUCAUUGGAUCAGUCUCACACUACAUCAAAAGAAAUUCCUCACGUAUAUCUUGAUGUCUGGAAAAAUAAAUAGUCAGCAGGCCACGUAAUGUUAUCAUGUUUGUAUGUGAUAUCAUAAUUGGUUUUAGAAAUAAAAUUCAUGAUAAUUUGCAAAAUAUUAUUAAAAAUGCAUAAACACCUUGUUCUCCUCAUACUACGGUCCCAAUUUUCUGAAAAAGAACUUGUUCUGAC
Molecule: long non-coding RNA, 560 nt
Organism: Thalassophryne amazonica
Lineage: Eukaryota; Metazoa; Chordata; Actinopteri; Batrachoidiformes; Batrachoididae
Exons: 3
Source: RefSeq, a predicted model, not a curated record